Molecule: ribosomal RNA, 253 nt
Filed under: uncultured bacterium
Lineage: Bacteria
Description: partial 16S ribosomal RNA
Rfam family: Bacterial small subunit ribosomal RNA
Source: RNAcentral
UACGUAGGGCGCAAGCGUUAUCCGGAAUUAUUGGGCGUAAAGAGCUCGUAGGCGGUCUGUCGCGUCUGCUGUGAAAACUCGGGGCUUAACCCCGGGCCUGCAGUGGGUACGGGCAGACUAGAGUGCGGUAGGGGUGACUGGAAUUCCUGGUGUAGCGGUGGAAUGCGCAGAUAUCAGGAGGAACACCGAUGGCGAAGGCAGGUCACUGGGCCGCAACUGACGCUGAGGAGCGAAAGCAUGGGGAGCGAACAGG